This 253-nucleotide ribosomal RNA is filed under the name uncultured bacterium. Its description in RNAcentral is "partial 16S ribosomal RNA". It matches the Rfam family "Bacterial small subunit ribosomal RNA", at positions 524 to 776 of the family's 1533-position model. The record is from RNAcentral.
UACGUAGGGUGCAAGCGUUGUCCGGAAUUAUUGGGCGUAAAGGGCUCGUAGGCGGUCCAUCGCGUCGGGAGUGAAAAGCUGGGGCUUAACCCCAGUCCUGCUUCCGAUACGGGUGGACUAGAGGUAGGUAGGGGAGAUCGGAAUUCCUGGUGUAGCGGUGAAAUGCGCAGAUAUCAGGAGGAACACCGGUGGCGAAGGCGGAUCUCUGGGCCUUACCUGACGCUGAGGAGCGAAAGUAUGGGGAGCAAACAGG